This 3705-nucleotide long non-coding RNA is filed under the name Mus musculus (house mouse). Its description in RNAcentral is "long non-coding RNA chr19:40894686-40898391". The record is from RNAcentral. Lineage: Eukaryota; Metazoa; Chordata; Mammalia; Rodentia; Muridae.
GCAGCGUGCGCUGCCGGCAGCGCGGCGCUCGGCUUUCCGGCAGUACCCGGAUGGAGGGGUAAUGGCCGCCAUCUGGGACUCGCAGGCAAUGGGGACCACGGCAGGUAUUCCCUGUGUGCGGAGCCGCCAAGACCAGUUAGGAUGUCGGGACGCACAGAGAGACGGCAAGGGGCCAAGGGCGAAAUCGUGGGGUGCUAGGGUUCCCCCCAAAUGGUCUUGGGGGGGAUCCGCCUCUUGCGCUAGGAAGCUCAUGUUAAAUAGUCCCGUCCAUUCAGCGCUUCCGGCCAACUUGCCGCAAAGUUUUCUAGAGAAGUCCUUGGUUUCUAACCCGGGGCUCUUGCUAGCUCUUAGGGCUGGUCAUUGUCGUCUCGGCUUGGGCUGGUUGUAAGUUUGUCCCUAAGAACUCCCCCACGGUCUCAGAGCCUAGGACUUGGGCGCGCGCGCACGGCGCGGCGACAGUGUACAUCCGCGCGCCCGAGGGGCAGCGGAACUCCGGGGAAAGGGGCGGAUCGGGCGCGGCGUUUUGGGGGCGAUGCGGGGGCGUUUGGCGCGCGAAGCCAUCGCUCGUCGGGUUCCGCGCCCGGUGGAGACGGGCUGGGCAGCCCUCAGUCCGCACCCCUCGAGCUGUAGGUUCGCGGGCCCGCCUCGACGGCAUCCCUACUAUGGGCCCAGUCUAUGGCUAUUGGGGGUUCUUCCUUGCAGAGACUCCCCGCUCUCUUGGCGCACGCACUGCGCGCCCUCAGAGUUGGGCAAGAAAGUGGUCCUCUUGUAGACUGCCCCCACCACCACCACACCCAGUGGCAUAUGGAUUUCUUUGUCACGGGCUUUUUUUUUUUUUUUCCCCACUUGUAGGGUCCAUCUUGAAUCUGUUCUUAACAUGGUGUCCUCUUUGUUAAGUGGGUAGUAUCUUGAGUUAGAUGGCUUUGGUAACUCAAAAGUAUUGGGUCUGAAUGCAUAGAUGAUGUGAUUUAACUCUUAUCUAGACCAAUGGAACAGAUGCAACUUCAAAGUUUAGAAAACAAAAGUUAAGGGUCAGUUUUCGCUUCAGGUUUAAAUUUGGGUUAUUUUAGUUUUUGUAAAUUAUUUUUUUCAAAAGUCUUGAAAAUGGGGAAAGGGGUCAGUUUUUGAGGAAUUCAUGAGAAUGUUGAACUGUCUGUGAUUAUCUCAGGGAUGUAAUGUAAAAACAACUCACAGCGUGGUUAAUUUGAAAGUCUGGUUUUCUUAAGGCACAUUUUACUAAUAAUAAUUGAAUUGCUUUUUUUCCCAGCAAAACAGGUCUGAUUUGAGUGUGCUCUAAAGUUUGUAUGGUCAGAAUGAAUAGAGAGACUUGCUGAAAUUCCCUAACAUUUUUAAAGUUAUAGCUGCAGAUCUGUUAAUUAUCCUUCAACAAAGCUGUAUUUUUCUUUAGAAAGUCAAAAGGGGCAAUUCGUACUAGCACUUGAGGGGUGUUGGCUUUCUAUGGCGUAGGUAAGCAUAGUAGACCUUACUCUUUUCUGUUUUUUUUUCCAAAUUAUGAUUACCAAUUCAAACAUUAUAUGUCAGAUGUCUGAACAGAUAAAAGGAUAGCAACUCCAGCGACUGUGUCUUUGUGAGCUCAUAGCAAAUAAACUUAAAUACUGGAGGGUUUUAUCAUAACCACCUUCACAUUUUAUGAUAUUUUUUCUGGAAGUAGUAUAGUGUGGUUCCAAAAGCUGCUGUAUUUUGAAAUAUUUUAAAUGAGAAACUUUCUAUCUAAAUAUAGUUUGAGUGAAAAAACCCACAAAACCUUACAAUGCCCUUUUAAUGUACUUUUAUUGCAAGUGUUGGGGCUUACUCUCAUUGAAGCAUUGUGUGUGCCCUGUAGAGAACACUUAAUCUGACCAGUCUAACUACUUUUCUGGUUUUCCUUUAAGUUCAAGAUUUUAAUCUUGCAUUUCUUCAGGUGCUCUAUUUAAAAGGGUUUUGUCAAUUAGAGAAAAGGGUUCUUAGAAAAUUUGAAAUGUUUAUCUGUUGUCUGCCCUCAUGUAUAGUCUAUUAAUUCUAUAGGCUUCACAUCAUAGGCAGUUCUCAUGGGAUGUUGAUACCAGCCUUGAGCAUUACUGUUGUCAGUAGGCUUUUGUAGUGGGCAGAUAAGUGGUUCAGAAUCAGGUGCAAUACUAAUUCUGCUUUUGCAAUUUGGAUAGGGCAAAACGAGUUUUCCUUUUAUUGUAUUAAAUGAUGCUAUUGUAUUAGAUUCUUGGAGAUGUGACUUUUGUAUUACAUGAGUUAUAUCACUGGGUAUCAAUUGUAUGCUUAUGCCCCAAGUACAGAGGAACUUAAAAACUAAUAUUCCUUACUUAAAUAUGAACUGUAAAUGACCAGGAUAAAAGCAUUUUGUUUUUGCUGUCAAAAUUCUUAAAUCUUCAUUUUCAUUUCCAGAUACCAUCUCUUGAUCACUGUACCUGAUUGUGGGUGGCAUUGUCCAGGCAUUAAGUUGUGUGCCUUUGUUCCUGGGAGAAAGGUAGGGAUUGGAGCACUUGAGUAGAUAGAUUUAUUACGUAGUAAGUUCGCGUCUUAAUAUUGGAUUAAAUAGACUGAAUGGUUACCUAUCUCUUAAUUUUCAAAGUUACUUUAGAGUUUUAUUUAUUGGCCAAAAUAAAAGGAAUUUCUCCGGAAGUUUUUAUUUUAAUGUAAGUAAAAAACUAAUUUUGGGUUUCAUAUUUGUUGAAUGUUUUAUCAGAGCUCAAAGAUGAUUUUAAUAUGUCAUGCUAAAUCUAGAGAUAGCAUUAAGGGCUUCUGGAUAAUGAUCAAUAAAGACAAAUAUGGUAGAAACAGGUUUCAAAGCUCUAUAAAUGGCUAGAGUCUGUGCCUUAAUUUGGCAAGUGCUAGUCAGUGCACCUAAAGAAAAACAAUAUAUUUGAUUUACAUUAUGAUUAAUGCUUAUCUACUUGAAGUUAGAAAAGGAACUGGAGAAUCUCUAGAGAAUUAAGACUGGUAGCCGGGCGUGGUGGCGCACGCCUUUAGUCCCAGCACUCGGGAGGCAGAGGCAGGCGGAUUUCUGAGUUCGAGGCCAACCUGGUCUACAAAGUGAGCUCCAGGACAGCCAGGGCUAUACAGAGAAACCUUGUCUUGAAAAAACAAAAAAACAACAACAACAAAAAAAGAAUUAAGACUGGAGAAGUGUCCUGGAGAAGUAUCUGAAUGUCUUGAUGUGGACAAAAAGAGUGGCAAAAAUCCAACAGAUCCAUGGUAAUAUACGGAGAGCUAUUAAAAUGGAUUGGAAAAUAUUGUGUGCCCUUAUUCAAAAACACGGUUUAAUCUACUCUCAACACAAAUAUGUCUGUCACUUGUUUGUGUUACUUAGGUCUUGGAAUCUUUAAAAUGGGUGCCAUGAUAUUUUAUACUGCUCAUUUCUAAAUGCAUUAAGCAUAUACUAAAAUACUUGGCAGUCAUAACCGUGUUCUUCCAUGAACUUUACCAAUAGAUUACGUUCUUUUCAGGGUCUCUUUUUUCACAAAGGCAUAAAUUUUUAUUUAUUUAGAAAUUAAUGUCUGAUGACUAUAUUGAAUAGAACAAAGUUCAAGCCGGGCGGUGGUGGUGCACGCCUUUAAUCCCAGCACUUGGGAGGCAGAGGCAGGCGGAUUUCUGAGUUUGAGGCCAGCCUGGUCUACAAAGUGAGUUCCAGGACACCCAGGGCUACACAGAGAAAUCCUGUCUCGAAAAAUCAAAAAACCUAAAACAAAAACC